GAAAUGCGAUAAGUAAUGUGAAUUGCAGAAUUCAGUGAAUCAUCGAAUCUUUGAACGCACACUGCGCUCGCCAGUAUUCUGGCGAGCAUGCCUGUUCGAGCGUCAUUUCAACCAUCAAGCUCUGCUUGCGUUGGGGAUCCGCGGCUGCCCGCGGUCCCUCAAAAACAGUGGCGGGCUCGCUAGUCACACCGAGCGUAGUAACUCUACAUCGCUAUGGUCGUGCGGCGGGUUCUUGCCGUAAAACCCCCAAUUUCUAAGGUUGACCUCGGAUCAGGUAGGAAUACCCGCUGAACUUAAGC
This 299-nucleotide unclassified non-coding RNA is filed under the name plant metagenome. RNAcentral describes it as "partial contains 5.8S ribosomal RNA, internal transcribed spacer 2, and large subunit ribosomal RNA". The stretch from base 1 to 105 matches the Rfam family "5.8S ribosomal RNA", at positions 50 to 154 of the family's 154-position model. The record is from RNAcentral.